CCUACGGGAGGCAGCAGUGGGGAAUAUUGGACAAUGGGGGGAACCCUGAUCCAGCCAUGCCGCGUGUGUGAAGAAGGCCCUCGGGUUGUAAAGCACUUUCAGUGAGGAAGAACGCCUGGUGGUUAAUACCCAUCAGGAAAGACAUCACUCACAGAAGAAGCACCGGCUAACUCCGUGCCAGCAGCCGCGGUAAUGCGGAGGGUGCGAGCGUUAAUCGGAAUUACUGGGCGUAAAGCGCGCGUAGGUGGCUUGAUAAGCCGGUUGUGAAAGCCCCGGGCUCAACCUGGGAACGGCAUCCGGAACUGUCAAGCUAGAGUGCAGGAGAGGAAGGUAGAAUUCCCGGUGUAGCGGUGAAAUGCGUAGAGAUCGGGAGGAAUACCAGUGGCGAAGGCGGCCUUCUGGACUGACACUGACACUGAGGUGCGAAAGCGUGGGUAGCAAACAGGAUUAGAUACCCUAGUAGUC
RNAcentral lists this ribosomal RNA (465 nucleotides) under Vreelandella stevensii. RNAcentral describes it as "partial 16S ribosomal RNA". It matches the Rfam family "Bacterial small subunit ribosomal RNA", at positions 338 to 795 of the family's 1533-position model. The record is from RNAcentral. Lineage: Bacteria; Pseudomonadati; Pseudomonadota; Gammaproteobacteria; Oceanospirillales; Halomonadaceae.